GGGGCUCAGGAGGGACUUUGUCUGCCCACAGGGUUGCAGGCCUGCCAGCUGGCACUGAGCACCAGGACCGUGUGGGCCCGCUGUCCAAAUGGAGACCUCGCCCGGCGGUACGGCGUCACAGACAAGAACCCCGCCGGGGACUACUGGAAGAAAAUUCCCGGCAGCGUGUCGUGUUUCACAGUGACUGCGUCAGAUGAGCUGUGGGCUGUGGGCCCGCCCGGCUACCUCCUCCAACGGCUGACAAAGAUGUUCAGCCACUCGCACGGCACCCAGAAGAGCAGCCAGGCUGCCAUGCCCCACCCCGAGGACCUGGAGGACGAGUGGGAGGUCAUCUGAAGGAGCCCUGGCAGAGUCACGCAGAGGGGCCUGGCGUCUGUAGUGGGCACAGUGGCUUCGGAGUCACUCCCUGGUGGACGUGCUGCCGCAACACUUGUCCAGACACCUCUGGCCAGGUUGGACCCGCACACUUACUUUCAUCUAUGUUGGUUUCU
Molecule: small RNA, 491 nt
Filed under: Pongo abelii (Sumatran orangutan)
Lineage: Eukaryota; Metazoa; Chordata; Mammalia; Primates; Hominidae
Description: retained intron
Source: RNAcentral